UACGUAGGGGGCAAGCGUUGUCCGGAUUUAUUGGGCGUAAAGAGCGUGUAGGCGGCUUGGCAAGUCCGCUGUGAAAACUCGAGGCUUAACCCUCGAGACGUCGGUGGAAACUGCCUGGCUAGAGUCCGGAAGAGGAGAGUGGAAUUCCUGGUGGUAGCGGUGAAAUGCGCAGAUAUCAGGAAGAACACCCGUGGCUAAGGCGGCUCUCUAGUACGGUACUGACGCUGAGACGCGAAAGCGUGGGGAGCGAACAGG
This 255-nucleotide ribosomal RNA is filed under the name uncultured bacterium. Its description in RNAcentral is "partial 16S ribosomal RNA". It matches the Rfam family "Bacterial small subunit ribosomal RNA", at positions 524 to 776 of the family's 1533-position model. The record is from RNAcentral.